This 594-nucleotide ribosomal RNA is filed under the name Vanrija humicola. RNAcentral describes it as "eukaryotic LSU rRNA". It matches the Rfam family "Eukaryotic large subunit ribosomal RNA", at positions 62 to 648 of the family's 3401-position model. The record is from RNAcentral. Lineage: Eukaryota; Fungi; Basidiomycota; Tremellomycetes; Trichosporonales; Trichosporonaceae.
AAACUAACAAGGAUUCCCCUAGUAGCGGCGAGUGAAGCGGGAAGAGCUCAAAUUUGUAAUCUGGCGUCUUUCAGGCGUCCGAGUUGUAAUCUAUAGAAGUGUUUUCCGUGCUGGACCAUGUCCAAGUCCCUUGGAACAGGGUAUCAAAGAGGGUGACAAUCCCGUACUUGACAUGACCACCAGUGCUCUGUGAUACACUCUCUACGAGUCGAGUUGUUUGGGAAUGCAGCUCAAAAUGGGUGGUAAAUUCCAUCUAAAGCUAAAUAUUGGCGAGAGACCGAUAGCGAACAAGUACCGUGAGGGAAAGAUGAAAAGCACUUUGGAAAGAGAGUUAAACAGUACGUGAAAUUGUUGAAAGGGAAACGAUUGAAGUCAGUCGUGUUCAUUGGACUCAGCCGGUUUUCGGUGUAUUUCCUUUGAACGGGUCAACAUCAGUUUUGUCCGGUGGAUAAAGGCAGGAAGAAAGUGGCUCCCUCGGGAGUGUUAUAGCUUUCUGUCACAUACACUGGAGGAGACUGAGGACUGCAGCUCGCCUUUUGGCCGGGGUUCGCCCACGUUCGAGCUUAGGAUGUUGACAUAAUGGCUUUAAACGAC